Molecule: ribosomal RNA, 522 nt
Filed under: uncultured bacterium
Lineage: Bacteria
Description: bacterial SSU rRNA
Rfam family: Bacterial small subunit ribosomal RNA
Source: RNAcentral
AGAAUUUGAUCUUGGUUCAGGAUGAACGCUAGCUACAGGCUUAACACAUGCAAGUCGAGGGGCAGCAUGAUCAAAGCUUGCUUUGAUUGAUGGCGACCGGCGCACGGGUGAGUAACGCGUAUCCAACCUUCCCCUUAGUAGGGCAUAGCCCGUAGAAAUGCGGAUUAAUACCCUAUGUUGUUCGAUGCGGACAUCUAAGUUGAACCAAAGGUUUACCGCUAAGGGAUGGGGAUGCGUCUGAUUAGGCAGCAGGCGGGGUAACGGCCCACCUGGCCUACGAUCAGUAGGGGUUCUGAGAGGAAGGUCCCCCACAUUGGAACUGAGACACGGUCCAAACUCCUACGGGAGGCAGCAGUGAGGAAUAUUGGUCAAUGGGCGAGAGCCUGAACCAGCCAAGUAGCGUGCAAGGACGACGGCCCUAUGGGUUGUAAACUGCUUUUAUGCGGGGAUAAAGUGCGGCACGUGUGCCGUUUUGUAGGUACCGCAUGAAUAAGGACCGGCUAAUUCCGUGCCAGCAGCAGC